RNAcentral lists this ribosomal RNA (629 nucleotides) under Zygoascus biomembranicola. Its description in RNAcentral is "eukaryotic LSU rRNA". It matches the Rfam family "Eukaryotic large subunit ribosomal RNA", at positions 1 to 648 of the family's 3401-position model. Lineage: Eukaryota; Fungi; Ascomycota; Dipodascomycetes; Dipodascales; Trichomonascaceae. The record is from RNAcentral.
UUGACCUCAAAUCAAGUAGGAUUACCCGCUGAACUUAAGCAUAUCAAUAAGCGGAGGAAAAGAAACCAACAGGGAUUGCCUUAGUAGCGGCGAGUGAAGCGGCAAAAGCUCAAAUUUGAAAUCUGGCACUUUCAGUGUCCGAGUUGUAAUUUGUAGAAGUAACUUUGGAUUUGGUCCUUGCAUAAGUUCCUUGGAAUAGGACGUCAUAGAGGGUGAGAAUCCCGUUUAUGGUGAGGAUACCAUUUCUUUGUAAAGUGCUUUCGAAGAGUCGAGUUGUUUGGGAAUGCAGCUCUAAGUGGGUGGUAAAUUCCAUCUAAAGCUAAAUAUUGGCGAGAGACCGAUAGCGAACAAGUACUGUGAAGGAAAGAUGAAAAGAACUUUGAAAAGAGAGUGAAAAAGUACGUGAAAUUGUUGAAAGGGAAGGGCUUGAAAUCAGACUUGGUAUUCAGUGAUCAAUUACCUUUCGGGGUGGUGCACUCGCUGUUUACUGGGCCAACAUCGGUUUGAGCGGUAGGAUAAUGACUUUGGAAUGUGGCUCCUCGGAGUGUUAUAGCCUUUGUUGAUACUACCAGUUUGGACCGAGGACCGCGUCUUUUGACUAGGAUGUUGGCGUAAUGGUUUUAAGCCAC